This 71-nucleotide transfer RNA is filed under the name Mycolicibacterium frederiksbergense. Its description in RNAcentral is "tRNA-Trp". It matches the Rfam family "tRNA". From Rfam's summary of the family: Transfer RNA (tRNA) molecules are approximately 80 nucleotides in length. Lineage: Bacteria; Bacillati; Actinomycetota; Actinomycetes; Mycobacteriales; Mycobacteriaceae. The record is from RNAcentral.
GCGGGUGUGCGCAGGCGUAGCUCGCCGGUCUCCAAAGCCGUGCGAUGAGAGUUCGAAUCUCUCCACCCGUG